AAAAAAAAAGGGAAAAUAAAAAAGAGAAGAAAUUUUUUUUUUUUGAGAAAUAAGUAGCACGCUACCCGCUUCGUUUAUUUUAUUUAGAAAUAAACUUAGCUAGAAAUAUGAAUCAACUAGGAUUCGAACUUAGGUCUCGGGUACCAACCACCAAACUCUUUACCACUUGCUCUAGAAACGGUCGGUAAAAAGAGAAGAAAUUACUUCAAUUGUCCACAGUCUC
Molecule: long non-coding RNA, 223 nt
Filed under: Ananas comosus (pineapple)
Lineage: Eukaryota; Viridiplantae; Streptophyta; Magnoliopsida; Poales; Bromeliaceae
Description: long non-coding RNA (ACOM_LNC016488)
Source: RNAcentral